CGCCGCGUGAGUGGUGAAGGGUUUCGGAUCGUAAAGCUCUGUUGUUAGGGAAGAACAAGUGCCGUUCAAAUAGGGCGGCACCUUGACGGUACCUAACCAGAAAGCCACGGCUAACUACGUGCCAGCAGCCGCGGUAAUACGUAGGUGGCAAGCGUUGUCCGGAAUUAUUGGGCGUAAAGGGCUCGCAGGCGGUUUCUUAAGUCUGAUGUGAAAGCCCCCGGCUCAACCGGGGAGGGUCAUUGGAAACUGGGGAACUUGAGUGCA
This 264-nucleotide ribosomal RNA is filed under the name Bacillus amyloliquefaciens. RNAcentral's name for it is "partial 16S ribosomal RNA". It matches the Rfam family "Bacterial small subunit ribosomal RNA", at positions 395 to 650 of the family's 1533-position model. The record is from RNAcentral. Lineage: Bacteria; Bacillati; Bacillota; Bacilli; Caryophanales; Bacillaceae.